AUGAAGAAGGAUUCUGUGGCAUUUCAAGACCUGCCAUCGCUGGUCCUUGACAAAAGGCUUCUGAGAGGCAUGGAAAAGAUGACCCUGUUCAAACAUACUGGGCUGCUGGAAGUCUUUCACAGCGCACUUUUGAAAUACCUCCCCAAUGAAGGUUCCUGCACUACAAUGGAGAAGCAUGGUUCAACCAAAUGUUCUGCAUGAGAUCCAAGCAGUGGGUCUUGAAGAAAAUCUUCAUACCACACAGUUUGUAGACGAACUCAUCCAGAAGCCCAUUGAAAAGGCUCAAUCCAAACAUUGUGUUCAAAGUCCCAACCUCCUCACUUGCCCUGCCACAGCCUGCGCUGCCACCAAACAUUGCAUUAGUGCCUAAACCAUCAAAGGAGGCUGCCACGACUUCUUUCAAAAGUCACUUCUGAGACUGACACUUUCUAAUAAUAAUAAUAAUAAUAAUCACUUCUUCCCUGAGUCCUAUUGCUGUGUCUAAUCAAAUUCUGCCACCACUCUUUGUUAUUAUAUACUGUGUUUAUAUGUAAGCAAUAAGGUACGAGAGGCUGUGCUGUAUCGUGAAUAAGUAACGGCUGAAGGGCGUUGUUAGGCACGACGCGAAGCGGAGAACGCUGCUGCCAGAAUUCUGACCAGAACCAAAAAAUCUGAGCACAUCACUCCAGUCCUCAGGUCCUUACACUGGCUUCCUGUUACAUUUAGAAUAGACUUUAAAGUAUUGUUACUCGUUUAUAAAUCACUUCAUGGCUUAGGACCCAAAUACAUGACAGAUAUGCUAACUGAAUAUAAACCUAAAAGAUUACUCAGAUCAUUAGGAUCCGGUCAGUUAGAAAUACCAAGGGUUCACUCAAAACAAGGUGCGUCAGCAUUUAGUUAUUAUGCCACCUCUAGCUGGAAUCAGCUUCCAGAAGAGAUCAGAUGUGCUUCAACAGUAAACACUUUUAAAUCUAGAUUAAAAACACAUCUGUUUAACUCUGCAUUUACUGAAUGAGCACUGUGCUGCUUCACACUGACUGCACCUUUAACUCAAGUCACUUUUACUUCUGUUUUAUUCUUUUUACCUUUUUAAAGUGUUUUUAUUAAAAUCACAUUUAUUUUCUUUAAUUGUUAUUAUGUAUCUUUGUUUUUAUUGUGAUUUUAUUGUGUAUCUAUUAUUUUUACAUUUUCUUUUUUCUCUUUUAUAUAUUGUUUUCUCAUUUCUAUGUAAAGCACUUUGAAUGACCUCUGUGUAUGAAAUGUGCUAUACAAAUAAACUUGCCUUGCCUUG
Long non-coding RNA from Misgurnus anguillicaudatus (oriental weatherfish), 1270 nucleotides. RefSeq lists it as uncharacterized. NCBI's taxonomy places the organism in Eukaryota, Metazoa, Chordata, Actinopteri, Cypriniformes, Cobitidae. The record is from RefSeq and is a predicted model, not a curated record.